Molecule: long non-coding RNA, 2335 nt
Organism: Trachemys scripta elegans
Lineage: Eukaryota; Metazoa; Chordata; Testudines; Emydidae
Exons: 4
Source: RefSeq, a predicted model, not a curated record
GUCGCAGUUGCUGCUUGUCUUUAGGCCAUACAAAUCUUGUUUUCUGUGGCAUUAACCACAUUUCUACCACUGGAGUUAAAUUUCUGGAAGCCAGGAAAAAAGAAAAUCUCUUACAUGCCUGGGAGAAAUGUUUUACAGGACUCCUCAGCAAAACAAUUUCCCCUUAAUUAAGCAAUAUGAUGUAAAUUACAUGGUGAAUGAUUUAAUAAGGGAGAAAACGUGGCAACCAACAGCAACAAAAAUCUUUUAAGAAUAGUGGCGUGAUUCUCCAGAAAAGAACAGAAAAUAUGAAGUCACGAGCACAAGCCGCAAUUCACAAAAACCCCAAACCCAUUCAUUCUAUUCAUUAUUUUGGAAAUGGAAAGGUCCAAAAUCUCUUUCCCUGGACAGAAGGAUGCGUUCUCCUUUUCACCCAUCGUGCAGAUGUACCUCAAAUGUCCAAGAGACUUUCAUCUCUAGUGGCAAAGAGACUAGAGGCUCUUCUUGUUUCAUCCACACCUUUGUAACCUAUGUGCUAGACUACUGCAACAAACUCUACCUGGGACUAUCAGUGAAAGCUGGGAAGAAGUUAACAGGAUGGAGCCACCUGCUUAAUGAGUGGGCUAAGCUACUGUGAGGCUUAAUAUAUUUUUACAGUUUUAUAUUGACUUGUGAAAUGGGGUGGAGGCGUGGUAAACAUACCAAACAUUUAACAAGGAUACAUUUUAUUUCUAUACUGAAAGUUGAGAGACAUAUAUUAUAUUCUCAGCUCUGCCACAGACUUCCUGUGUGAUCUUGAGCAAGUCAUUUAAUCUGUGUCUGGGUUCCCAAUCUUCUGCUUUCUAUGUUGAAUCCCUUUCUGCUACUAUUUGUUCUAUUAGUCUAUCUAGAUUAUAGGCACUCUUCAGAGCUGGGACUGGUUCAAAUUCCAUGUGUUUGUGGCUUGUGCAUAUCUAGCACAAUGGGGCCUGUUCUUGGUUGUAGCCAAUGUAAUACAGAUAAUAAUACAAAUAAUAAUGACAAUGAAGAGAUGAGAGAAGUCAGCUUGUUUAUUGUAUAUUUGUACAUCUCUAAUCCUGUAGAGGCUUAAGGUGAAAUCCUGGCCCCAAUGAAGUCAGUGGGAGAUUUGCAAUCCAGCUAGGGCAGUAUUUCACCCAUAAACACCUUUAGUACCUUUACUCCCAUGAGUAGUCCUUCUGAGUUCAAUAGUGCUGCUUAUCUGAGUAAAAUUAUUUCCUUGCCUAAUACUUGCAGGAUUGGGCCUCAAGUUAUUAUUGAUUAUGUGAUUCCAAGCCUUUUAUCUUUAAGAUUUUAUUUUAAUUUUAUGCUUGAUUAGUACCCAGAGGCCUUCAAGCAGGGGGUAUUGUAACAAUAAAGAAUUGUUAUUGCUGUUGAGUUAGAUUUGGUUGUCCUUCCAGUUAAUAAUAGCACAUGUACAACCAUAAUUUCAUCAAUUAUCUCUUCUUCUGCAUUUAUUUUUUAGAAUAUGUGUUUUUUCCCUAGUUCACUUCCCAGUAGGUUAUCCUGCUACUUUAUAUACUGUACUAGGGGCCUUAUCCUGCCAAUAUCACUCAGGCAAAACUACUACUAGACCAGCACAUGAACAAACUUAAAGUGGGAACACAGGUAGCAAUUCUUCCAGCAUAACCUCUGUGGUUUUGGGAUGAGAUUCGCUUUUGGCGAAUGUUAAGAUCUCCUGAAUAAAAUCUGCAGAAUUGUGCCCUGUACCUGGUUGUGACCCAGAAACCUCAUUGUGUCAACUGGCAGAGGGCACAAUGGGUGCUUAGAUUUAGAUAUAUGUAUAAUAAUUCACUAAAGGGUGAGAGCUCUGCUUAAAGCCAGUCAUCAUAAUCACUGUGAAAUGAAUGUACAGAUAACAUUUAAGGAGUUAUGUACUGAAAAUGUUGAUGUUAAGGCAGGUAACCAGGAGGUGAGCUGUCUUGGACAGGUUCCUUUCCAGCAAAGGGUAAUAGAUGUGUAUCUCACUGGCUGGCCAUGUGCGUAUCCUGUGUCUCACAAUGUAAAUCUGUUUGCAUAUUGAGCCUGAUGCUAAUAAAAAGAUUGCAAAACUGACAAGAGAGGAAACCAAUAAGCUGGGUGUGUCCAGAUUACGGAAAAGAACAAAGGACUGUCCUGGUAUAUCUAAGGCUACCAAGAGACACACUGAAUCUUUCACCAAGGAAUCAAGCUGACAGUGUGACUUGUCUCAUAAAUGGAAGAUCACAGCCAAACCCGGCUGUAAAACAUUUUGGGCGAAUAUUGCUCUAUUAGACAGAAAAGUAUCUUUUUAAGUAAAGUCUAGGUAUGUGUAAUAUUGUAUAUGUAGCCGUUUGUAUCCAACACUUCUACUUUCUAU